CCAUAGAAGUUGCAGCUCCUCAACCCAUCUUUGGUUCUUUGUUUCCUUGACUUUGAGUGAUGGUAGAGCUCAAACUUAGAUGAGGCAAAAAAAAGGCAUUUAACUGAAAAUGUCUUUGAAGAGUUUCCACUAAAGAAAAGCAUAUUGAUGGACGGCUUCAUAUGGCUUGCUGUCUUAGUCAGAAUUUUGCGAUCGAAUUACUGAUAUCUGGAUCUCGAACCAGUCACAUCCUGAUUCCUUUAAUAAAUAUCAUUAAUCACUGA
This is a long non-coding RNA of Parasteatoda tepidariorum (common house spider), 263 nucleotides long. RefSeq lists it as uncharacterized. The record is from RefSeq and is a predicted model, not a curated record. NCBI's taxonomy places the organism in Eukaryota, Metazoa, Arthropoda, Arachnida, Araneae, Theridiidae.